CUAUCAACGAUUCUCCUAGUAACUGCGAGUGAAGCGGGAAAAGCUCAAAUUUAAAAUCUGGCAGUGGUUCACUGCCCGAGUUGUAAUCUAGAGAAGUGUUGCUCACACUGGACCAUGUAUAAGUCUUCUGGAAUGAAGCGUCAUAGAGGGUGAGAAUCCCGUCUUUGACAUGGACUCCCAGUGUAUUUGUAGCAUGCUCUCAAAGAGUCGAGUUGUUUGGGAAUGCAGCUCUAAAUGGGUGGUAACCUCCAUCUAAAGCUAAAUAUUGGCGAGAGACCGAUAGUGAACAAGUACCGUGAGGGAAAGAUGAAAAGAACUUUGGAAAGAGAGUUAAAAAGUACGUGAAAUUGUUGAAAGGGAAACGCUUGAAGUCAGUCACAUUGGCCAGGGAUCAACCCAAGCUUUUUUGCUUAAGUGUACUUCCUGGCUGAUGGGCCAACAUCAGCUUUGACUGUCAGAGAAGGGUAGGGGGAAUGUGGCACCCUUCUUGGGUGUGUUAUAGCCCUCUGUCAUAUAUGGCCGUUGGGGSUGAGGAAUGCAGCGCGCCACAAAGRCCGGGUUUYGACCACGUUUCGCGCUUAGGAUGUUGGCAUAAUGGCUUUAAUCGACCCGUCUUGAAACACGGACCAAGGAGUCUAACAUSCCUSCGAGUGUUUGGGUGGAAAACCCGAGUGCAUAAUGAAAGUGAAAGUUGAGAUCCCUSUCAUGGGGKGCAUCGACGCCCGGACCUGAGCUUUUCUAGCAAUGGCUCUGCGGUAUAGCAUGUAUGUUGGGACCCGAAAGAUGGUGAACUAUGCCUGAAUAGGGCGAAGCCAGAGGAAACUCUGGUGGAGGCUCGUAGCGAUUCUGACGUGCAAAUCGMUCGUCGAAUUUGGGUAUAGGGGCGARAGACUAAUCG
This 898-nucleotide ribosomal RNA is filed under the name Amanita rubroflava. Its description in RNAcentral is "eukaryotic LSU rRNA". It matches the Rfam family "Eukaryotic large subunit ribosomal RNA", at positions 65 to 937 of the family's 3401-position model. The record is from RNAcentral. Lineage: Eukaryota; Fungi; Basidiomycota; Agaricomycetes; Agaricales; Amanitaceae.